AAAUAAGAAUAAUAAUUAGUUUCGACCUAAUUUCAGAAAAAAAAAUUUCCUUAUUUA
This 57-nucleotide transfer RNA is filed under the name Gumaga orientalis. RNAcentral's name for it is "tRNA-Arg". The record is from RNAcentral. Lineage: Eukaryota; Metazoa; Arthropoda; Insecta; Trichoptera; Sericostomatidae.